CAACGCAAGUUGGCACGGAUGGAUGAGGGUCUGUGUCCCUUAACCAUCUCUCCCGGGUUCGAUACUUACUGGAGGAUGGGAAUGGAGCUUGCUUGCUUGGGAGGGUCGCCCACUUUGCCUCUGCAGUACCCGAGGGAUUAGUCAUUGGGCUUCCGGCCUGAUGGAUACCCUAAUGGAGAUAUGAUGG
This is a non-coding RNA of Arachis ipaensis, 187 nucleotides long. NCBI's taxonomy places the organism in Eukaryota, Viridiplantae, Streptophyta, Magnoliopsida, Fabales, Fabaceae. The record is from RefSeq and is a predicted model, not a curated record.